GAUAAACGCUAGCGGCAGGCUUAACACAUGCAAGUCGAGGGGCAGCAUAGAUUGUAGCAAUACAAUUGGUGGCGACCGGCGCACAGGUGCGUAACGCGUAUGCAACCUACCCGUCACAGGGAGAUAAUCCGGAGAAAUCUGGUCUAAUACCCCAUAACAUAUGGAUCGGCAUCGGUUCAUGUUGAAAUUUUCGGAGGUGACGGAUGGGCAUGCGUAGCAUUAGCUUGUUGGUGAGGUAACGGCUCACCAAGGCGACGAUGCUUAGGGGGACUGAGAGGUUUUCCCCCCACACUGGUACUGAGACACGGACCAGAGUCCUACGGGAGGCAGCAGUGAGGAAUAUUGGUCAAUGGGCGCAAGCCUGAACCAGCCAUGCCGCGUGCGGGAUGACGGCUCUAUGAGUUGUAAACUGCUUUUGUACGAGGGUAAAGUGGGUUACGUGUAACCUUUUGAAAGUAUCGUACGAAUAAGGAUCGGCUAACUCCGUGCCAGCCGCCGCCGUAA
This 504-nucleotide ribosomal RNA is filed under the name uncultured bacterium. Its description in RNAcentral is "partial 16S ribosomal RNA". It matches the Rfam family "Bacterial small subunit ribosomal RNA", at positions 28 to 523 of the family's 1533-position model. The record is from RNAcentral.